GAUGAACGCUAGCGGCGGGCCUAAUACAUGCAAGUUGAACGAGAUUGUUGGUAGCAAUACUGACAUGAAAGUGGCGCACGGGUGCGUAACACGUAUGUAACCUACCUUUAACUGGGGCAUAGCUUCGAGAAAUCGAAAUUAAUACCCCAUAACAUUUAGAAAAGGCAUCUUUUCUUUAUCAAAGUUCCGGCGGUUAAAGAUGGACAUGCGGUGCAUUAGCUUGUUGGUGAGGUAACGGCUCACCAAGGCUACGAUGCAUAGGGGGUCUGAGAGGAUGAUCCCCCANACUGGUACUGAGACACGGACCAGACUCCUACGGGAGCAGCAGUGGGGAAUAUUGGACAAUGGGCGCAAGCCUGAUCCAGCAAUGCCGCGUGUGUGAAGAAGGCCUGCGGGUUNUAAAGCACUUUCAGUGGGGAAGAACGGGCCAAGGUUAAUACCCCCUAGGCUUCUGACGUUACCCACAGAAGAAGCACCGGCUAACUCCGUGCCAGCAGCCG
RNAcentral lists this ribosomal RNA (500 nucleotides) under uncultured bacterium. Its description in RNAcentral is "bacterial SSU rRNA". It matches the Rfam family "Bacterial small subunit ribosomal RNA", at positions 28 to 517 of the family's 1533-position model. The record is from RNAcentral.